RNAcentral lists this ribosomal RNA (497 nucleotides) under uncultured bacterium. RNAcentral describes it as "partial 16S ribosomal RNA". It matches the Rfam family "Bacterial small subunit ribosomal RNA", at positions 28 to 507 of the family's 1533-position model. The record is from RNAcentral.
GAUGAACGCUGGCGGCGUGCCUAAUACAUGCAAGUCGAGCGAACAGACGAGGAGCUUGCUUCUCUGACGUUAGCGGCGGACGGGUGAGUAACACGUGGAUAACCUACCUAUAAGACUGGGAUAACUUCGGGAAACCGGAGCUAAUACCGGAUAAUAUAUUGAACCGCAUGGUUCAAUAGUGAAAGACGGUUUUGCUGUCACUUAUAGAUGGAUCCGCGCCGCAUUAGCUAGUUGGUAAGGUAACGGCUUACCAAGGCAACGAUGCGUAGCCGACCUGAGAGGGUGAUCGGCCACACUGGAACGGAGACACGGUCCAGACUCCUACGGGAGGCAGCAGUAGGGAAUCUUCCGCAGUGGGCGAAAGCCUGACGGAGCAACGCCGCGUGAGUGAUGAAGGUCUUCGGAUCGUAAAACUCUGUUAUUAGGGAAGAACAAAUGUGUAAGUAACUAUGCACGUCCUGACGGUACCUAAUCAGAAAGCCACGGCUAACUACGUG